Molecule: non-coding RNA, 1015 nt
Organism: Oryza sativa Japonica Group (Japanese rice)
Lineage: Eukaryota; Viridiplantae; Streptophyta; Magnoliopsida; Poales; Poaceae
Source: RefSeq, a predicted model, not a curated record
UCGAAGCCAACCGCAUGCCGGAUAACGCGAUGCACAACAGGUAAGAGUUCGACGCGUACUUAGCCUGGCUCGCGAGGAACUACCGCAGUGCCCUACGUCUGGCUUGGACGCUAACCGACAUACUGGAUGACCUGAUUGAGGUGGAGGAGCAGAACAAGUACGAUACAAGUACCCAUAGAGGUAGCACGGUCGGGAUGGGUCCGGUUCGAGACAAAGUGGUGAGUAUGGGUUCUAUUUACUCGUUUUCCAAUUUCUGUACUUCGUGCUUAUAACUUCUCCUACAGACACGGGAGCUGAUCAGGACAGUCAACGAUGCGGGCGUGGCACUUGGCAUGCCCCCUAGCUCGCAACAAGAGAGCAGCAUUCUUCGGAAUGCAUUACAGACUCUAUGACAGCGAUGCAGAAGUUGGCGGCAUGUCUGGGAUGCAGGGCCGACGAUGCCUUCGAACCACCUCGACGGGCUGAGCAGGGGACAAGUCGAGGAGUGGCUCAAGAGGGUGUACAAGAGGGAGAGGAGGAGGAAGAAAGAGAGGAGGAGGAAGAGGAGGAGCAAGUGGAGCUCGGUCCCUCCUAGCUGUAGGACGCUCCACAGUCGUUGCAGGGGCCAUCUCGACCACAACACAAGAUAGCUCAUGUUUCAACUGGAGGUACACUCCCGAUCAACCUCGUGCUCCAAGGGGUAGGAAGAAGUAGGUGUCACAGUCGAUAGCCUCUUUAGUUGUGAUCUUGUGAACCUAUGAACCUAUAUUUUGUGAACUUGUGAACCUAUAUUCUGUGAACUUUGUGAAUGGAUGUGUGAUGGAUGGAUGGAUGUGUGUUGGAUGGAUGUGUGCUGGAUGUGUGUUGCCUAUGUGUGUUGUGGAUAUAUAGAUGGAUGGAUGGAUGUGUUCUGUGCUUGCUACUUGCGGCUUGUAAACUUGUGAAUGGAUGGAUGGAUGUGUAUGUUGGCUGUGUGUGGAUGUGAACUUGUGAAUAGAUGGAUGCUUGUGAACUUGUUAAUGAACCGGCUUGUGAA